This 1513-nucleotide ribosomal RNA is filed under the name Candidatus Uzinura diaspidicola. RNAcentral describes it as "bacterial SSU rRNA". It matches the Rfam family "Bacterial small subunit ribosomal RNA". Lineage: Bacteria; Pseudomonadati; Bacteroidota; Flavobacteriia; Flavobacteriales. The record is from RNAcentral.
GGCUCGAGUUUUUCAGCAGAUAGAGUUUGAUCCUGGCUCAGAAUUAACGCUAGCGGCGAGCUUAACACAUGCAAGUCGAGGGGCAACGAAAAUGUUUUUAAUUUGUUCGGCGACCGGCGAAUGGGUGAGUAACACGUAUGUAAUCUACCUUUUGCUGGGGUAUAGCCAGGAGAAAUUCUGAUUAAUCCCCCAUAAAAUAAAUGUUCUGCAUGGAGCCUUUAUUAAAACUCAGGUGGCAAAAGAUGAGCAUGCGCUUGAUUAGUUAGUUGGUGCCGUAAUGGCUCUACCAAGACUAUGAUCAGUAGGGGGCCUAAGAGGGUGUACCCCCACACUGGUACUGAGACACGGACCAGACUUCUACGGAAGGCAGCAGUGAGGAAUAUUGGUCAAUGGAGGAAACUCUGAACCAGCUACGCCGUGUGCAGGAUGACGGUCUUUUAGGUUGUAAACUGCUUUUGUAUAGAAAUAAAACUCCUACGAGAUAGGAGCAUGAAGGUACUAUGCGAAUAAGUGUCGGCUAAUUCCGUGCCAGCAGCCGCGGCAAUACGGAUGACACAAGCGUUAUUCGGAUUUAUUGGGUUUAAAGGGUGUGUAGGCUGUUUAUUAAGUCAGUAGUGAAAGCUUACAGCUUAACUGUAAAAUUGCUAUUGAUACUGGUAAACUUGAGUAAGAUUGGAGCAUCUGGAAUGUAUGGUGUAGCGGUGAAAUGCAUAGAUAUCAUACAGAACACCGAUAGCGAAGGCAGGUUGCUAAAUCUUUACUGACGCUGAGUGCACGAAAGCAGGGGUAGCAAACAGGAUUAGAUACCCUGGUAGUCCACGCCCUAAACGAUGAUCACUAGCUAUUGGAAAAACGAUAUUCAGUGGCUUAGCGAAAGCGAUAAGUGAUCCACCUGGGAAGUACAGUCGCAAGAUUCAAACUCAAAGGAAUUGACGGGGGUUCGCACAAGCGGUGGAGCAUGUGGUUUAAUUCGAUGAUACGCGAGGAACCUUACCAAGGCUUAAAUGUAUUACGAAUAAGCUGGAAACAGUUUAGUCUGUACGACGUAUUACAAGGUGCUGCAUGGUUGUCUUCAGUUCGUGCUGUGAAGUGUUUGGUUAAGUCCUAUAACGAGCGCAACCCCUAUUGUUAGUUGCCAUCGGGUAAAGCCGGGGACUCUAACAAAACUGCCGGUGUAAACUGUGAGGAAGGUGGGGAUGAUGUCAAAUCAUCAUGGCCUCUAUGCCUUGGGCUACACACGUGCUACAAUGGCUGGUUACAAAGGGUCGCCACUGGGUGAUCAGGAGCUAAUCUCUAAAACCAGUCUCAGUUCGGAUUGGAGUCUGCAAUUCGACUCUAUGAAGCCGGAAUCGCUAGUAAUCGCGCAUCAGCAAUGGCGCGGUGAAUAUGUUCUCGGACCUUGUACACACCGCCCGUCAAGCCAUGGGAGUCGGGGGUACCUGAAGUCAGUAACCCUUCAGGGGUCUGCCUAAGGUAAACUUGAUAACUAGGGCUAAGUCGUAACAAGGUAACA